AUUUUUUAUAAGCGCAACUGGUAUAUAAGCUAUACUCCCCUUUUAUUAGUCCAAAUAGGUUGAAUUUUGUUGUUCUGCAAGCAGCCUGGCGCAAUGCACUAUAUAUCAUAGGAAUUUUUCAAGUGGCACAAACUAUGGUAAUUUACAAUCCAUUUCUAGGAUUUUUCCUAACUAAAUCAUACCAAAUGUUGAUUAUAACAGCCUUGAGUAUGUGAAAUGAGCAUUAAAACUAAUUUCUAUCAAGCUUAACAUUACAACCUCCUUUCCUGUGGAAAGCCCUAAUACUGUUACUAAUAGGGCACAUUUAGUUCAAUGACUCGAGAACAUUUUUCUACAAGGUUACAGAUGAAAAGUGCUCUUGUUCAUUUAGAGAAUUUUCCAAUUUGGACUUAGUGGACUUGAAGUGAGGCUUAUUAAGGAGUUUGUAUUUCUUCAACCUUUCCAAGUGGGUUUUAAAGAUCAAGAAGUGUUAUCUAGUGUUUGUGUUGUCUUGUCUGCUACUGGUUAACUAAAUUAAUGUUUGCAACACUCCUCAUAUGAAAUAGCCACUUUCCAAUUUUGGAAUUUUUCGACACUUGACUUUGUGUGUUCUCUAAACAGUUAAUAUCUCUCUUGGAUUCUGCUAGCUUCUAACGACUUUUUCAUUACUCAAUCGAGUUAUUUCAGUAGCAUUCUUUUGUUUUGUGGGCUACUUGCAUUUGAUUGAUGCUUUGUAGAAUGUUAAGUUUGGUCAAUUUGAUUAAAUGGUGCUAACAUCUUCAGUUUGUUCUAAGUAUCUGUUCUUAAUUUUGAACAUUUGUUCGAUUUAUUUAUGUAUUUGCACUUUAUCUCUUUUGCACAUGUGACUACACCUUGAGCCUAGGCUCUAGGUACCUUUUGUGCCAUAGCGUACUGUGCCUUUUGUCUUUAAUAUCUAUGGCAUGAAGUACCAUCAUCACUUGAAGAACCUUUGUCUGCAAACAUUAAACCAUCUUAUUCAUUUAUCUUUCUUUGUACCAUGGUUUCAGUGCAGAGUUGCUCUUAGAGGAGAGGAUAGAAUACAAUGAUCUUGUAAACUUGGUUCAAGAUGAAUCAUAUUUAUAUGAAAAUAAACAAAUUGAUACACAGGGCAAUGAGGAUAAAAACGGUGAACCAAAGAAAGGUUCCUCAUUAAAAGGUACUGAAGAUUGUGGAGAUCCUAAUGAUCCUCGUGUAAGAUUGAAGCGCGAUUGUGUUGGAAUCAUGGCUGCAUUUAAACUCAAGGAUGCUUUUCAUCAUAUUGUUAUUGUUGCAAACACACACCUUUACUGGGAUCCAGAAUGGGCUGAUGUCAAGCUUGCCCAAGCUAAAUAUCUUUUAUCACGCUUAUCUCAAUUUAAGGCUCUGGUUUCUAACAAGUUUGAAUGUACACCACCUGUUAUUCUGGCAGGUGAUUUCAAUUCAACCCCAUGGGACAAGGUUUACCAGUACCUUAUUUCUAGCAACUCUUCGUCGAUGCCACUUGCAGAAUGCGUGGAUGAGCUUCCUAUUCCCUUGUGUAGCUUCUAUGGUCAUACGAGAGGAGAACCACCAUUCACAAAUUGCACCCCUGACUUCACAAAUACACUUGAUUAUAUAUUCUUUUGCCCUGAUGAGAAAAUAAAACCAGUCAGUUUCCUCGAACUUCCUGAAGCAAAUUCACCUGAUGUUCUUGGUGGAUUACCGAACUAUUACCACCCAAGUGACCAUCUACCAAUUGGUGCUGAAUUUGAAAUCUCCAAGGAAUAAAGCCUCACAGAGGUAAGCACAACUGCAUCUCCUUGUCAUCUCUUUUCUUUUCCUUAUUUCUCAAAUACCAUGAUUGAUGGAUCUAUUUCUGUGCAAAUAUGGCAAAAGAUUGGAAAGAAAAGAUGAUUUAACUUGGUUUGGGAGGCUUUGUAUGAUUGAUUUUUUGUCAUUAGGUACGAGGAUCAACAACAACAUUUUUAUGAUACUUUUAUGAGAUGAACCAAAAGAUUUUGGCAUAGAACUUUGUUGAAGCAUGUUAGUUGCUUAAAUGGCUAAAUCAUUUUUAUUGUUUUAAUUUAUCAAUUUUCCAGCUUUUUAUAAAAAUGUGUAAUAAUUAGUUAAAAUUCAAAUUUAUCAAUAAAACUUGUAUUGUCAUGUUUGUAAUUUCAGUAUAAUAUAAUUUUUUGCGAAUAUAAUUGUUUGCAAUUUACACUCUUUUGGGAUAAAUCAUAGGAGAGGAAGGGAAAUAAUAGAAGGAUUUUUUUUAUAAAUAAUUUUGCAUUUUUUAUUUUCUCCUUUUGUAUUUGGAUAAAUAGAAAAAAAAAAA
Molecule: unclassified non-coding RNA, 2293 nt
Filed under: Hevea brasiliensis (rubber tree)
Lineage: Eukaryota; Viridiplantae; Streptophyta; Magnoliopsida; Malpighiales; Euphorbiaceae
Source: RNAcentral